RNAcentral lists this ribosomal RNA (482 nucleotides) under uncultured bacterium. RNAcentral's name for it is "partial 16S ribosomal RNA". It matches the Rfam family "Bacterial small subunit ribosomal RNA", at positions 30 to 507 of the family's 1533-position model. The record is from RNAcentral.
AUUGAACGCUGGCGGCAUGCCUUACACAUGCAAGUCGAACGGUAACGGGCCUUCGGGUGCCGACGAGUGGCGAACGGGUGCGUAAUACAUCGGAACGUGCCCGAUCGUGGGGGAUAACGAGGCGAAAGCUUUGCUAAUACCGCAUACGAUCUACGGAUGAAAGCAGGGGACCGCAAGGCCUUGCGCGGACGGAGCGGCCGAUGGCAGAUUAGGUAGUUGGUGGGAUAAAAGCUUACCAAGCCGACGAUCCGUAGCUGGUCUGAGAGGAUGAUCAGCCACACUGGGACUGAGACACGGCCCAGACUCCUACGGGAGGCAGCAGUGGGGAAUUUUGGACAAUGGGCGCAAGCCUGAUCCAGCCAUGCCGCGUGCAGGAUGAAGGCCUUCGGGUUGUAAACUGCUUUUGUACGGAACGAAAAGCCUUCUUUUAAUACAGGAGGGUCAUGACGGUACCGUAAGAAUAAGCACCGGCUAACUACGUG